RNAcentral lists this ribosomal RNA (1317 nucleotides) under uncultured bacterium. RNAcentral describes it as "bacterial SSU rRNA". It matches the Rfam family "Bacterial small subunit ribosomal RNA", at positions 58 to 1396 of the family's 1533-position model. The record is from RNAcentral.
CAAGUCGAACGUGAGAGAAGGAGCUUGCUUCUUCGAUCGAGUGGCGAACGGGUGAGUAACGCGUGAGGAACCUGCCUCAAAGAGGGGGACAACAGUUGGAAACGACUGCUAAUACCGCAUAAGCCCACGGGUCGGCAUCGACCUGAGGGAAAAGGAGCAAUCCGCUUUGAGAUGGCCUCGCGUCCGAUUAGCUAGUUGGUGAGGUAAUGGCCCACCAAGGCGACGAUCGGUAGCCGGACUGAGAGGUUGAACGGCCACAUUGGGACUGAGACACGGCCCAGACUCCUACGGGAGGCAGCAGUGGGGAAUAUUGCACAAUGGGGGAAACCCUGGUGCAGCGACGCCGCGUGGAGGAAGAAGGUCUUCGGAUUGUAAACUCCUGUUGUUGAGGAAGAUAAUGACGGUACUCAACAAGGAAGUGACGGCUAACUACGUGCCAGCAGCCGCGGUAAAACGUAGGUCACAAGCGUUGUCCGGAAUUACUGGGUGUAAAGGGAGCGCAGGCGGGAAGACAAGUUGGAAGUGAAAUCUAUGGGCUCAACCCAUAAACUGCUUUCAAAACUGUUUUUCUUGAGUAGUGCAGAGGUAGGCGGAAUUCCCGGUGUAGCGGUGGAAUGCGUAGAUAUCGGGAGGAACACCAGUGGCGAAGGCGGCCUACUGGGCACCAACUGACGCUGAGGCUCGAAAGUGUGGGUAGCAAACAGGAUUAGAUACCCUGGUAGUCCACACCGUAAACGAUGAUUACUAGGUGUUGGAGGAUUGACCCCUUCAGUGCCGCAGUUAACACAAUAAGUAAUCCACCUGGGGAGUACGACCGCAAGGUUGAAACUCAAAGGAAUUGACGGGGGCCCGCACAAGCAGUGGAGUAUGUGGUUUAAUUCGACGCAACGCGAAGAACCUUACCAAGUCUUGACAUCCCUUGACGAACAUAGAAAUAUGUUUUCUCUUCGGAGCAAGGAGACAGGUGGUGCAUGGUUGUCGUCAGCUCGUGUCGUGAGAUGUUGGGUUAAGUCCCGCAACGAGCGCAACCCUUAUGGUCAGUUACUACGCAAGAGGACUCUGGCCAGACUGUCGUUGACAAAACGGAGGAAGGUGGGGAUGACGUCAAAUCAUCAUGCCCUUUAUGACUUGGGCUACACACGUACUACAAUGGCGUUAAACAAAGAGAAGCAAGACCGCGAGGUGGAGCAAAACUCAGAAACAACGUCCCAGUUCGGACUGCAGGCUGCAACUCGCCUGCACGAAGUCGGAAUUGCUAGUAAUCGUGGAUCAGCAUGCCACGGUGAAUACGUUCCCGGGCCUUGUACACACCGGCCG